GUGCCCAGUGAUUAUAAAAAGACGCGUUAUUCUGAGGAACUCAACCUGCUACCAGUCUGUCUUCUACCUGCCCUCAGUCUUAAAAUCUCCCUCCUCCUCCUCCUCCUCCUCUGGUAGUGGGUCCGCUGACUGCGAUUAUGAGAUAUGAGGGCAU
This is a small nucleolar RNA of Pungitius pungitius (ninespine stickleback), 154 nucleotides long. RefSeq annotates it as small nucleolar RNA SNORD97. The transcript has a single exon. The record is from RefSeq and is a predicted model, not a curated record. NCBI's taxonomy places the organism in Eukaryota, Metazoa, Chordata, Actinopteri, Perciformes, Gasterosteidae.